This 465-nucleotide ribosomal RNA is filed under the name Vreelandella stevensii. Its description in RNAcentral is "partial 16S ribosomal RNA". It matches the Rfam family "Bacterial small subunit ribosomal RNA", at positions 338 to 795 of the family's 1533-position model. Lineage: Bacteria; Pseudomonadati; Pseudomonadota; Gammaproteobacteria; Oceanospirillales; Halomonadaceae. The record is from RNAcentral.
CCUACGGGCGGCUGCAGUGGGGAAUAUUGGACAAUGGGGGGAACCCUGAUCCAGCCAUGCCGCGUGUGUGAAGAAGGCCCUCGGGUUGUAAAGCACUUUCAGUGAGGAAGAACGCCUGGUGGUUAAUACCCAUCAGGAAAGACAUCACUCACAGAAGAAGCACCGGCUAACUCCGUGCCAGCAGCCGCGGUAAUACGGAGGGUGCGAGCGUUAAUCGGAAUUACUGGGCGUAAAGCGCGCGUAGGUGGCUUGAUAAGUCGGUUGUGAAAGCCCCGGGCUCAACCUGGGAACGGCAUCCGGAACUGUCAAGCUAGAGUGCAGGAGAGGAAGGUAGAAUUCCCGGUGUAGCGGUGAAAUGCGUAGAGAUCGGGAGGAAUGCCAGUGGCGAAGGCGGCCUUCUGGACUGACACUGACACUGAGGUGCGAAAGCGUGGGUAGCAAACAGGAUUAGAUACCCCUGUAGUC